ACCAACCCGAUGCAAACUGCGAAUACCGGAGAAUGUUAUCACGGGAGACACACGGCGGGUGCUAACGUCCGUCGUGAAGAGGGAAACAACCCAGACCGCCAGCUAAGGUCCCAAAGUCAUGGUUAAGUGGGAAACGAUGUGGGAAGGCCCAGACAGCCAGGAUGUUGGCUUAGAAGCAGCCAUCAUUUAAAGAAAGCGUAAUAGCUCACUGGUCGAGUCGGCCUGCGCGGAAGAUGUAACGGGGCUAAACCAUGCACCGAAGCUGCGGCAGCGACGCUGAUGCGUUGUUGGGUAGGGGAGCGUUCUGUAAGCCUGCGAAGGUGACCUGUGAGGGUUGCUGGAGGUAUCAGAAGUGCGAAUGCUGACAUAAGUAACGAUAAAGCGGGUGAAAAGCCCGCUCGCCGGAAGACCAAGGGUUCCUGUCCAACGUUAAUCGGGGCAGGGUGAGUCGACCCCUAAGGCGAGGCCGAAAGGCGUAGUCGAUGGGAAACGGGUUAAUAUUCCCGUACUUGGUGUUACUGCGAAGGGGGGACGGAGAAGGCUAUGUUGGCCGGGCGACGGUUGUCCCGGUUUAAGCGUGUAGGUGUGUGUUCCAGGUAAAUCCGGUUCACUUUAACACUGAGGCGUGACGACGAGGCACUACGGUGCUGAAGCAACAAAUGCCCUGCUUCCAGGAAAAGCCUCUAAGCAUCAGGUAACACGAAAUCGUACCCCAAACCGACACAGGUGGUCAGGUAGAGAAUACCAAGGCGCUUGAGAGAACUCGGGUGAAGGAACUAGGCAAAAUGGUGCCGUAACUUCGGGAGAAGGCACGCUGACACGUAGGUGAAGUGAUUUACUCAUGGAGCUGAAGUCAGUCGAAGAUACCAGCUGGCUGCAACUGUUUAUUAAAAACACAGCACUGUGCAAACACGAAAGUGGACGUAUACGGUGUGACGCCUGCCCGGUGCCGGAAGGUUAAUUGAUGGGGUCAGCGCAAGCGAAGCUCCUGAUCGAAGCCCCGGUAAACGGCGGCCGUAACUAUAACGGUCCUAAGGUAGCGAAAUUCCUUGUCGGGUAAGUUCCGACCUGCACGAAUGGCGUAAUGAUGGCCAGGCUGUCUCCACCCGAGACU
Molecule: ribosomal RNA, 1114 nt
Filed under: Salmonella enterica subsp. enterica serovar Typhimurium
Lineage: Bacteria; Pseudomonadati; Pseudomonadota; Gammaproteobacteria; Enterobacterales; Enterobacteriaceae
Description: bacterial LSU rRNA
Rfam family: Bacterial large subunit ribosomal RNA
Source: RNAcentral